GUCCACACCGUAACGAUGAUUACUAGGUGUUGGAGGAUUGACCCUUCAGUGCCGCAGUUAACACAAUAAGUAAUCCACCUGGGAGUACGACCGCAAGGUUGAACUCAAGGAAUUGACGGGCCCGCACAAGCAGUGGAGUAUGUGGUUUAAUUCGACGCAACGCGAAGAACCUUACCAAGUCUUGACAUCCCUUGACGAUGCUGGAAACAGUAUUUCUCUUCGGAGCAAGGAGACAGGUGGUGCAUGGUUGUCGU
This 254-nucleotide ribosomal RNA is filed under the name uncultured bacterium. Its description in RNAcentral is "partial 16S ribosomal RNA". It matches the Rfam family "Bacterial small subunit ribosomal RNA", at positions 793 to 1055 of the family's 1533-position model. The record is from RNAcentral.